Molecule: ribosomal RNA, 94 nt
Filed under: Salmonella enterica subsp. enterica serovar Bovismorbificans
Lineage: Bacteria; Pseudomonadati; Pseudomonadota; Gammaproteobacteria; Enterobacterales; Enterobacteriaceae
Also listed under: 1 other name
Source: RNAcentral
UGGCGGCACUAGCGCGGUGGUCCCACCUGACCCCAUGCCGAACUCAGAAGUGAAACGCCGUAGCGCCGAUGGUAGUGUGGGGUCUCCCCAUGCG